Falco peregrinus (peregrine falcon) is the source of this 1960-nucleotide long non-coding RNA. RefSeq lists it as uncharacterized. The transcript is spliced from 4 exons. NCBI's taxonomy places the organism in Eukaryota, Metazoa, Chordata, Aves, Falconiformes, Falconidae. The record is from RefSeq and is a predicted model, not a curated record.
AGGGGGGCGCUCCCGCCGCAGCCCUUCCUUGGGCGGCCUUCCCCGCUGCGUAGGCGCCGAGCCGAGCGGGGCGCUACGGCUCUGUCCUCAGCGGCCCUGCGCAGCCGCCUCCUCCCGCGGGAGGACGCGGAUGUGCCCGGCAGAGGCGGCAGAGGCACCGGAGUGCUCCAGGCCGUGCCCGCGUCCGGCCGCCCGAGGAGUCUCCCCGAGUCGUUUCGGGUAAUUUAUUAAGCAUCUCUAUUGCUAACAAUACAGAAGAAGGAGUAACAUCUGUCUUACUUUGAUUCUACAAAGUUCAUCUCAAAAGAGAGAGCUCUCAGCCUGAAGUUUCAUAUGAAUCCAGCUCAGUCCUGGAAUACUAUACCAUCAGAGUUCUCUCUGCAUUAUAGAGAAGUUCAACUGUACAGCUAAUAAACUUCACUUAGUCUGCCUAUUAAGAGAGGUUUUACCUUUUUUUAAUUCUCCUCUCCAUCCCACUGCAGGGGGAAGGAGGAGGAGUGAGCGAGCAGCUGCGUGGUACUUAGUUGCUGGCUGGGAUUGAACCAUAACACUAUCUAAAUGUUCAGUGACCAACGAUGAAUAAAUCACUAGCCUUCCAAUCAACAAAUCACUUUUUUUUUAGGGUGUAGGAACAUAUGUAUUUGAAAGAAUUACUAUAAACUUUCCAAGUCACACAGGUACUGACAGGUAAACUCCCAUUUUUUUAUGAAAUUCUCCUAUCAUAGUUGCAACUUCAAUAGCUGUCACUUUCUUGCUGUUUUGUAUACACCAAGCUUUUCUCUGUAAAUGUCAGAUUAUGCACACUGAUACCUUUCUGAAGUUAAAAAGUUCUGUUCUUUUAACUAUAAGCCUUUUUGCCUUUUGGACCCGUUACGUAUUAGAUGGAGACUGUCUGGAGUGUAAAUUUGAGUCUUCUCCAGAACAAUAAAGUAGAAAUCAAUAUUUUAAGCAUCCAAAAUUGACAUCACACACACAACAUGCUGCUUGCUGCAGUGUAGUUCCUUGCUGUUCUCCAUGGCUUUCUACCCUGUGUGCCGAGAGGGUCAGAACUGCCCUCCUUACACUAAACCUCCACCUAGCAGGGAGUGCAUACUUGGACCCUGUUGAGCUCUGACCCAGGCAUUUUAGACUGAACUGUUUUCACGACCUGACUGGUUAACAGUGGCUAAAGCUUUAUCUUUGCUGUCAUAGUUUUGUAACCCUCCCCUUUGGGAAAUGGCAAUACACCCUUCCUCUUACUGUUUUCUUUGACUGUUUCUAUGGCUGAAACACUAAUUCAAACUGCAAACGUUACAUUCAGUCCACCAUCUGCUAGCCAAAUAUUAGAGAUAUACAAAGUUUUACUCAGUAGUCUCGUUUCCAGUCCCUCAAGUUCCCCUUGAAGCUUCUAAGCACAUCUCCGCCUCCCGGGAAUGUGAAGACCAGCCCUUUGGGAUGCAGCACCAUCUAGUGAGGCAAACUAGCUCAGAUCUUCACGGGGCCUUUGAAAGGAUGCCACCACCGGUAGUCACAGUGGUACGAGCUGCUUUUCACAAGAGACCAGUGUUUAUUAGUCAUCUGGAAUCUAUCACGGAGAGCAAUUACUGCUACAUUUAAAUAUUUUGCUGUGCUUUGCCACACUAGCCAAAGAGCUUCCCGUGGUAGAUUCCACAUAGAUUCUUGUAUUUCAGUUGUCUUGUAAAAUUCGUCCCUAUACCCAGUUUCUAAAUCCCAGCAUCAGCACCUUUGUGCCAUGUCUCUUCAUUGCAGCCUUCGUUUUCUCCUGCCUCCAAACAGACAUCUGAGGAACCCACUCCCUCUUGUGUUAAGCCAUUUGCUGCCACCUAAAUGCCUAGCCAUUAUCCCUGGAAUUAACUCUGUGCAUAUGAAUCGCCUGAUUCCUGCUAACGCCUUCCCAUACACAGUACCUGUUGGGCGAUGGAUGCACACAACUCCCAGCAGGUAACAAUAUAAAAUCUGU